UCCCUCAGAAUGGUUGGAAAUCAUUCGCAGAGUGUAAAGGUAUAAGGGAGCUUGACUGCGAGAGAGACAACUCGAGCAGGGAGGAAACUAGGACUUAGUGAUCUGGUGGUACCGUAUGGAAGGGCCAUCACUCAACGGAUAAAAGCUACCCUGGGGAUAACAGGCUUAUCUCCCCCAAGAGUUCACAUCGAGGGGGAGGUUUGGCACCUCGAUGUAGGCCCAUCGCAUCCUGGGGCUGAAGUCGGUCCCACGGGUUGGGCUGUUCGCCCAUUAAAGCGGCACGCGAG
Molecule: ribosomal RNA, 287 nt
Filed under: Lactobacillus crispatus
Lineage: Bacteria; Bacillati; Bacillota; Bacilli; Lactobacillales; Lactobacillaceae
Description: partial 23S ribosomal RNA
Rfam family: Bacterial large subunit ribosomal RNA
Source: RNAcentral